RNAcentral lists this long non-coding RNA (1187 nucleotides) under Anolis carolinensis (green anole). RNAcentral's name for it is "lncRNA (ENSACAG00000040746.1)". Lineage: Eukaryota; Metazoa; Chordata; Lepidosauria; Squamata; Anolidae. The record is from RNAcentral.
AUGGAAGCUACAACAGAGGUACCAACUGAAGUCCAAGAAGGAAAACCAGCAAAGAAGAAAAAGGGAUCGAAAUGGAAGGCAACCAAAGAGGUCAUUGCCAAAGAAACUGCCAUCAGAACUGCUAAAAAAGCUGGCAUGAGAGAAGCCAUUGCCAAACAAGCCAAGUCCAAAGAAGCCAUGGCCAAAGAAGCCAUGGCUAAAGACACCAUGGUCAAAGAAACCAUGGCCAAAGCAGCUGAAGAAAAGGAAUUGUUAUUGGAGUCAGAUAAGGUACACUAUUAUUAUACUGUACUGAUUUAGACACUCUUAAGGGUCUGCAUGGGCUGUCAAAAAUGCUAAAAAAAACCAGAAGUGUCCAGCUGUAUUCUGCCAAUGUGUUGUGGUUUGCAGUUAUUUUUCAAUAUUGUAAUCAGUCUGAGUUUAAAUACAUCUGUACCGAAAACUCAGAUUAACUCACUGAAUGGAUGAAUAUUUGUACCACUCCCACAGUUAUAGUUACAGUUUUGUUUGAUUUUAAUAUAUUGAUCAUCAAUCCCAGGCCCUUUUCUGUAAUGCAGGCUGUGCAAGAGAAGGACAGAGCAACUGAGAGAAAAGAAUUUCAGGCUGAAAUAAAGAGACUGAAAAAAGCUGAAUAUGAGGCAAGACAGCUUGCACUGAGGUAUAUGCACAAGAUUUUUUUUUGUAAACAUGUGAUGUGAUCAUUUCAUAUUUUUUCAAAAUACCAAUGCUUUCUUCUCCCUGCCCCACUUUUUUUUCCUUUAGACUCCAACAAGACUUAAAUCAAUCUGGUCGAUCGUGGAAAAUGAAGUUUGAAAUUCUAAAGAAAAGGUAUUUUGAUGUUAGAUGUGCAUAUUAACAAAAUCCACAACAAAGCAUUCGAGAAUAAUUUAUUUUAAUGAGACAGCUAAUGUAAUCCUGUCUAUGCCUAGUCAUACAUAAGACCUGUGGGCAAAUAUAUAUAUAUUCCAUGUGUAGAGGCAUCAUUAUUGGAGGUAAUACACUUACUGGUUAGAAAGUAGAUUGACUUUCAAUGCAAAAGUCUGCAUGUCCAUAUAGAAAAUGGUUUACCCUAUAUAUUCAUGUAUAAAUGUAGAACUUUAAUCAGAAUUUCAGUUUCUAGGGUCACUACUUGGUUUUUUUUAAAAAAAAAAAGAUUCUCUGAGGCACAAAAAGAUCCACAGGCAUAU